Long non-coding RNA from Cygnus olor (mute swan), 1886 nucleotides. RefSeq lists it as uncharacterized. The record is from RefSeq and is a predicted model, not a curated record. Lineage: Eukaryota; Metazoa; Chordata; Aves; Anseriformes; Anatidae. The transcript has 2 exons.
GGGGGGUGGGAAAUGGAGUCCGGUGGGGACUACAAGUCCCGGCAGCGCCCGCUUGGGGGGGGGGGGGGAACACGUUGAGGGAGGGAGAGAGAGCGGCCCGCUCGCUGCUCGGUUUAAAAAAAUAUUCCCGGUCUUUGCCCUGCUCUCGGUAGCUGUGUUCCCGAACUGUUGUCGGGAGGUUUCGCUGGAACAGCUGAGCUAGGGAAUCCGCACGGCGCGGGGGACUGAGACCGGUGCCAGGUCGCCCUCAGUCGGUGCCGAAGGGUGGCCGUUGGCUAACGGUCCGCCUCGGUGUGCUGAGGGGGUUUCACGGCUUCACCGGCCCUAAUGAUCCUAUAAUUACAUGGUUCUGUGAUUCCGUGACCAGCCGUCCCCUCUCGGUUCAGUCAGAGUGGGCUCAGGAGCCGAGCACCGAGCCUGGGCGAUCUCUCCUCACAGAUGGGAUGCAAGGGGACAUAAAAAUGCAUGGGGCACAUUUAUACACAGGUGAAACAGACCACAGAAAACAGAGGAAUUCCCCAGGGAACUCGCGAUGGAAACGUGUCUACCUUUUAUAAGGUUUAUAACAAUGAAGCUGUCGUUUUACCUUUGUAUGGAAACCGCCCCCUUUUUUAAUGGAACAUUAAAUUAAUUACAUUCUGACUGUGCAGUUUGCUGGCCCAUAUCUGGAUUUGCAGUAACCAUCAAGAACAUCACUGGAAUUCCUUCUGGGCGAGAGACCCAGGACCAGAUCCAGAGCACGCACUAACAGAAGAUGACGGCAACGCUUGGCCAUUAAAGGCUUAAACCGGUGCCCAAAACCUCCUUUAACAGUAGCAGCACACAAUAAAAGUGCAGCGUUGAGUGUAUUGCAGCCUGAUUCUGUCUACUUCGUGCAUUCCGUUUUAAUUAUUUCUACUGAUUCACACCACCCUCAUGCCACCUACUUCAUGAAGGUUACUCCAGGUCUCCUGAUUUAAAUGCGUGAGAGAAAUACUUUAUGUGCAAACACACACAGACACACUCAGAAGAGGGAGUCGGUAAGCUCGAGAGGCAUUAUUGUUAGCAGUAAUACUUGAAAUAAAAUACAGUUUCUAGAAAACAGCUUGCUACCCUUGAAAGCAGUCUUUCCUUGGAGGGAGGCAGGAAGAGAGGAGCUGUACUCCAAUUGUUCAGACAGCUGACUGUUCAUACACACACACAGAAAAAUCCAAACCAGAGAUUAUCAGAUAUUUCUUAGGAACAUGAAGCGGGAAGGUAAGUCCCCUGGGACACCAAAUUUUCUCCCUUAUGACUGGAGAUACCACAUCCUGUAGCACUGCAUGCUACUGAGGUCUCCCAAAAUAGCUGAACAUCAACUGGAAGUGAGUGAGCCGAGUGGAUUUGUCCUCAGCUCUCAGUGGAGCAGAACUGCCCUUGUGGUCAGGAACUUUCUUCCAGUUUUCAGUCUACAUUUACAGUUGGGUGGUCUACACCCCUUUGUUCACAUACACGCCAGCAGUGCCCUUUGACUCAAAUCCCCCUUUUUUUUUUUUCUUUUUUCACUCCUGAUUGUUUACCCCCAGUGUACUUUCAGGCAGCCGUUGUAUCCCCGAGCAGUCUUCAUAUUCUCCCGGCUAGACCAAACAAGCCCUUCUUGUCUCCCGUGGCAAGACAGACACAUGGUACAAGAACACACAGUUAAGGCCAUUCCAGGAGCCUCGGUGGGGUGAGCUGGAGCAGCUCCUGCUCCGGCCCCGCAGCCUCCCGGGUCCCGGCGGAGAGCAGCCGCAUUGUGCCGCGGUGCUGUGAGCUGGCGAGAGACUGGGCUGACCUCGCUCCUCCUGUUGCUAGGCUGACUUACCACUGCCGGGGGGGGGGGGGGGGGGGGGGGCCUCACUGAUGAAGGGCUUUAUGCAAUUAUAUAU